Molecule: long non-coding RNA, 2053 nt
Organism: Sebastes umbrosus (honeycomb rockfish)
Lineage: Eukaryota; Metazoa; Chordata; Actinopteri; Perciformes; Sebastidae
Exons: 3
Source: RefSeq, a predicted model, not a curated record
AUUUCAUUUUCUAAAUCUUAUUAAGCCUCCAUCUGAUUUACAACGUCAAAGGACGGUUAAAGAAAGGCGGUAGAGGACGGUAAAGAAAGGCGGUAGAGGACGGUAAAGAAAGGCGGUAGAGGACGGUAAAGAAAGGCGGUAGAGGACGGUAAAGAAAGGCGGUAGAGGACGGUAGAGGACGGUAAAGAAAGCCGGUAGAGGACGGUGAAGAAAGGCGGUAGAGGACGGUGAAGAAAGGCGGUAGAGGACGGUGAAGAAAGGCGGUAGAGGACGGUGAAGAAAGGCGGUAGAGGACGGUGAAGAAAGGCGGUAGAGGACGGUGAAGAAAGGCGGUAGAGGACGGUAAAGAAAGGCGGUAGAGGACGGUGAAGAAAGGCGGUAGAGGACGGUGAAGAAAGACGGUAGGGGACGGUAAAGAAAGGCGGUAGAAGGCGGUAGAGGACAGACGGUAAAGAAAGGCGGUAGAGGACAGACGGUAAAGAAAGGCGGUAGAGGACGGUGAAGAAAGGUGGUAGAGGACGGUGAAGAAAGGCGGUAGAGGACGGUAAAGAAAGGCGGUAGAGGACGGUAAAGAAAGGCGGUAGAGGACGGUAAAGAAAGGCAGUAGAGGACGGUGAAGAAAGACGGUAGGGGACGGUGAAGAAAGACGGUAGGGGACGGUAAAGAAAGGCAGUAGAGGACGGUAAAGAAAGGCAGUAGAGGACGGUGAAGAAAGACGGUAGGGGACGGUAAAGAAAGGCGGUAGAGGACGGUAAAGAAAGGCGGUAGAAGGCGGUAGAGGACAGACGGUAAAGAAAGGCGGUAGAGGACAGACGGUAAAGAAAGGCGGUAGAGGACAGACGGUAAAGAAAGGCGGUAGAGGACAGACGGUAAAGAAAGGCGGUAGAGGACAGACGGUAAAGAAAGGUGGUAGAGGACGGUAAAGAAAGCCGGUAGAGGACGGUAAAGAAAGGCGGUAGAGGACGGUAAAGAAAGGCGGUAGAGGACGGUAAAGAAAGGCGGUAGAGGACGGUAAAGAAAGGCGGUAGAGGACGGUAAAGAAAGGCGGUAGAGGACGGUAAAGAAAGGCGGUAGAGGAUGGUAAAGAAAGGCGGUAGAGGACAGACGGUAAAGAAAGGCGGUAGAGGUCAGACGGUAAAGAAAGGCGGUAGAGGACGGGUAAAGAAAGCCGGUAGAGGACAGACGGUAAAGAAAGGCGGUAGAGGACGGUGAAGAAAGGCGGUAGAGGACAGACGGUAAAGAAAGGCGGUAGAGGAUGGUAAAGAAAGGCGGUAGAGGACGGUGAAGAAAGGCGGUAGAGGACAGACGGUAAAGAAAGGCGGUAGAGGACGGUAAAGAAAGCCGGUAGAGGACGGUAAAGAAAGGCGGUAGAGGACGGGUAAAGAAAGCCGGUAGAGGACAGACGGUAAAGAAAGGCGGUAGAGGAUGGUAAAGAAAGCCGGUAGAGGACGGUGAAGAAAGCCGGUAGAGGACAGACGGUAAAGAAAGGCGGUAGAGGAUGGUAAAGAAAGCCGGUAGAGGACGGUAAAGGAAGCCGGUAGAGGACGGUAAAGAAAGCCGGUAGAAGAUGGUAAAGAAAGCCGGUAAAGGACGGGUAAAGAAACACGUGGGAUUUGUUGACAACCAGAUUGUGAAGACGUUGGAUUCACCUCCCGGUCAUGCUGGUUGUUGUUUGUGGUGUUUUUACUGGUUUACAAGCCAGUCCAGCAGAAACCAGACUGGUUCUGGUCCACAUCAGCUCAGCAGAGACCCGCCGGUGUGUUGACAGUUUAGACGUCUCCGUGACCCAGAUUCACCUAAUGCUACCAGAGCUGGAUUACAUCCAGGAUUUAGACUGUAGAUUAAACCACAGACACAACAACCACCUGUGAGACGUCUGUUCAGGCUCAUCAUGACACGCUGCUGCUUUGUUUACUAUAUCAUCUGACCAACUCACUUUCAGACUGCUUCAAACUGACAAAGUCACAUAUAUGUUGUGUUUUAUAAGUAUAUUAACGUAUUGUUAAUAAACUCAAACACAGUGUGAGGACGGAGUUUGUGUUUCUGAUGUUAA